UNUGGACGAGAGUCUGAACCAGCCAGUAGCGUGAAGGAUGACUGCCCUAUGGGUUGUAAACUUCUUUUAUACGGGAAUAAAGUGAGGCACGUGUGCCUUUUUGUAUGUACCGUAUGAAUAAGGAUCGGCUAACUCCGUGCCAGCAGCCGCGGUAAUACGGAGGAUCCGAGCGUUAUCCGGAUUUAUUGGGUUUAAAGGGAGCGUAGGCGGACGCUUAAGUCAGUUGUGAAAGUUUGCGGCUCAACCGUAAAAUUGCAGUUGAUACUGGGUGUCUUGAGUACAGUAGAGGCAGGCGGAAUUCGUGGUGUAGCGGUGAAAUGCUUAGAUAUCACGAAGAACUCCGAUUGCGAAGGCAGCCUGCUGGACUGUAACUGACGCUGAUGCUCGAAAGUGUGGGUAUCAAACAGGAUUAGAUACCCUGGUAGUCCAAGGGCGAAUUC
This 440-nucleotide ribosomal RNA is filed under the name uncultured bacterium. Its description in RNAcentral is "SSU rRNA". It matches the Rfam family "Bacterial small subunit ribosomal RNA", at positions 370 to 808 of the family's 1533-position model. The record is from RNAcentral.